RNAcentral lists this ribosomal RNA (301 nucleotides) under uncultured bacterium. Its description in RNAcentral is "partial 16S ribosomal RNA". It matches the Rfam family "Bacterial small subunit ribosomal RNA", at positions 509 to 807 of the family's 1533-position model. The record is from RNAcentral.
CAGUAGCCGCGGUAACACGUAGGGUGCAAGCGUUAAUCGGAAUUACUGGGCGUAAAGCGUGCGCAGGCGGUUUGUUAAGACAGAUGUGAAAUCCCCGGGCUCAACCUGGGAACUGCAUUUGUGACUGGCAAGCUAGAGUGUGGCAGAGGGGGGUGGAAUUCCGCGUGUAGCAGUGAAAUGCGUAGAUAUGCGGAGGAACACCGAUGGCGAAGGCAGCCCCCUGGGCCAACACUGACGCUCAUGCACGAAAGCGUGGGGAGCAAACAGGAUUAGAUACCCGCGUAGUCCCUGUCUCUUAUAC